GAGUAGCUGGGAUUACAGGCGUGUGCCACCAUGCCCGGCUAAUUUUUGUGUUUUUAGUAGAGACCGGGGAAGGUAUGGGCCCUCUUUUGAGAAAAAUGCAGAGUGACACUGAAUUUUGUAACUACAUCAGGAGGCUCUUGAACCUUCUGCAGCUCACUCGUGGAGUUUGUAGAGAUGCGUAAUAAUCCGAAGUGUUAAGGAAGAAGGUUCUGUUGAGAAAAAGUUGGAGGGCUGAAAGGGAUGCCUUUCGCUAUUUCGACAUGUGUGGCUGUACCCCAGAGUGCCCUGGCUAACACGCAAAACCAUGAAUUAGGCGGCUUGGCGAGGCUCAGUGGAGGCUGGGGCCGAGAGUCAUGUCAAAGUUUGUGGGGUUAACCUGCACCCAGUGACAGUCAUGGCGAAGUUUGUGAGGUUAACUCGCACCCAGUAACGCUGUUCCAAUGCAAGGUGUGUAUUUGGUGUCAUCCACGGGAAGAGGAAACAGCAAAUUUUCUCAUGGCCUUGGCAGUUCCACAUGAUGGACAUUUCAUAUCUGCAGUUUUCUUCGCAUGAGAUGGCUUUUUUGCACAAAAACACUGGAAUCCAGUGAGCAAGAAUGAUAGAAUGCAAGAUGGAUUUCCACAUGAGGAAGUGUCACGAACAAGCGUUUUGCAUCUCUGUCAGCUGGAUUCCCCCAUGUGUACGUAUGUGAGAACAUGCCGUGUUUCCUGUCUGUAAUGGUAGAGGCAGCCCUGAUACUGGAUUUUCACCUGAGGAUGGAUAGAUCUUCAGGGUUCAAGUGGGUUUGCAUCUGGACUUUAGGGUGGCCCUGUAGGCCCUGUGUGAGAAGCCCCCUUCCCAGUGAACUUUCCCUUGUGUGCCCGCGUGGACAGCCAACAGGGGGAGCAGUGCGAGCGUGAAGGCAGACAGUGGCCUGGCCCAGUCUGAUGGGGUUUUGUUUGUGUUUCCCCAGGAAAAGAACUACAGCCUGUGUGGGUCCCCUCCCGACAAUUAAAAUUGCACCAUAACUCCAAAGAUGAAACGCUCCCAGAAAGAAAAGGCAAAGACCCAUCGGAAACAAAAGAGCAACUUUCACCGCCUGAUACAUACACUUCAUGACAUCCACAUUGAGACAAAAUCUCGCCGUGUGACCUACAACACCUCUCGUUCAACCCCACCUACUUGGGGUCGAAUACAGAUUUUAUCUCAUCAAACAGAAAAAUUCUUAACAGAAAAAGGAAUCCCAAAAAUGACUGGUAAUAUAAUUCUGGCUGCCUUUAUGGUAGUCAGUGCAGCGUCUGCAGAUGCCUCUAAGGAGUCCGAAACCAAGUCCGAAGUCAACAACAAGCAAUGAUGGCGAUGGCGAUUCUAGUUAAUAAAAAGGGGGGAGAUGUGGGCGGCAAGCCACCCAGGCACCGAGGCAAGAGACAGAGGACACGAGCUGUUCCAGUAUAAUAAAAUAUAAAACAAGAAUAGUUAUACCAGAUAUAGAUCUUAGAUAUGAUUAUAUACGAAUAUCAUUAAUCAUGAG
Homo sapiens (human) is the source of this 1510-nucleotide long non-coding RNA. Ensembl annotates it as endogenous retrovirus group K13 member 1. Its record names the gene ERVK13-1. The record is from Ensembl. NCBI's taxonomy places the organism in Eukaryota, Metazoa, Chordata, Mammalia, Primates, Hominidae.